UCUGUGUAUGUGAUUCAAAUUUGAGAAAAUUUUUAGUUGAAAUUUCAGAUACAGUAGGUUUGGAUAGAUUAGUGGUUGAUUAGAGUUUAAAUUUCGUGUUUUUGAUGACCAAGUUUAUGGAUACCCAGAUUUGUUUUUAUUUUUUAUGGAUGACCAAGUUUGUGAUUUUUUAGGGAUAUUUCUAGGUUUUGCAUGUUGGUUUGUAUUACUUGAUGGAUGCAAUCAGGCUAAGACAGACAGGUUUUUCUGUUGACAGCUUAGGCGACAUGGGGGAGGCAUUGCUUACUUGAGUGGCAGUGCUUCUGCUCUGUCCCUGUGUAGAUACUAUUUCAUGUGAUGGAAAUCAAUAAUGAUUAUUCUAAUGAAGCCACAAAUGUCAUUGCUUUUCAAGUAGUCAUGGGUUAUGCACCUGGCUUCAUUUUGAUCCAGGGGUUCCGAUUCAAGAGUACAUGUCUUAAAUGCACACAGGGGAAAUACUCUAGACAGCCACAGGCUUAUGAAUUUCGCUAGGCAACAGGGUCUUGAUAAGCAACAUAAUCUUAUGGAGGUGCUCUCUCUUGGCUACUUCACUCAGGCAAAAUUUAUUGGUGACAAAUUGUCAGAUUGAUCGCUGCUCAUUCUCUCUCAAUCGCGCGCUAUAGUUUGCCCCCUCAAUCUUUGCCUUUUAUCAACGCCACCACCAAGGCUUACAUCAGUGAUACUUCAAAUGAAUGUAGUAGCAACUUAUCAAGUGAACAAGGUAGUGAUUCUACAAAGUUUCAAAAAGUUGAUGUUCAAAGCAAUGUGCAACUCACACCAACAUCUAUGCUCAAGGAAAACAAAAGGACAUAUUUAGUGACUAUUACAAAGCAACAAAGGAAGAAGAUACAAAAAACACUUUUUAAAGUUUUUUUUUUUUUUUUUCAAUUUAUUUGAAAUAAUGAUUAAGUAGUUCUUUAAAUUUGUGUUUCAUACAUUUUAUGGAUAACUGAGGAUGUUAAAGAUUUAAUUCUUCA
This is a long non-coding RNA of Quercus robur (English oak), 995 nucleotides long. RefSeq lists it as uncharacterized. Lineage: Eukaryota; Viridiplantae; Streptophyta; Magnoliopsida; Fagales; Fagaceae. The record is from RefSeq and is a predicted model, not a curated record. The transcript has 3 exons.